AUUGAACGCUGGCGGCAUGCUUUACACAUGCAAGUCGAACGGCAGCGCGGGCUUCGGCCUGGCGGCGAGUGGCGAACGGGUGAGUAAUGCAUCGGAACGUGCCCAGUAGUGGGGGAUAGCCCGGCGAAAGCCGGAUUAAUACCGCAUACGACCUGAGGGUGAAAGCGGGGGACCGAAAGGCCUCGCGCUAUUGGAGCGGCCGAUGUCGGAUUAGCUAGUUGGUGGGGUAAAGGCUUACCAAGGCGACGAUCCGUAGCUGGUCUGAGAGGACGACCAGCCACACUGGGACUGAGACACGGCCCAGACUCCUACGGUAGGCAGCAGUGGGGAAUUUUGGACAAUGGGGGCAACCCUGAUCCAGCCAUGCCGCGUGCGGGAAGAAGGCCUUCGGGUUGUAAACCGCUUUUGUUCGGGAAGAAAUCCUCUGGGCUAAUACCCCGGGGGGAUGACGGUACCGGAAGAAUAAGCACCGGCUAACUACGUG
RNAcentral lists this ribosomal RNA (484 nucleotides) under uncultured bacterium. RNAcentral describes it as "partial 16S ribosomal RNA". It matches the Rfam family "Bacterial small subunit ribosomal RNA", at positions 28 to 507 of the family's 1533-position model. The record is from RNAcentral.